UACUACUAAACAUUACAUUGGAAAUCAAGAAAAACUUAUUACUUUUCACUCUCUUCACCCAGUGACAUAGGUGUGGAGUUAGAUCUUGAAAAUGACAAUAUAGGAAAUGAUUUCAAGUUUUUCUGGUGCGAAAUCAAUGGUUGAGGAAGCUUGUUUGCAUACCUUGUAGCACACCCAUUUCCAUCUCGUGUGGAUUGUUGAGGAAAAUAUAGAUGAAAAUUCUGUCCAAAAUUCUCUGCUGAUCCAUGAUUUUCUUGAGCAUUACCGCCUGAAUUUCCAAUGAAUGAUGUGAUGGCUGCUGCUAAUGCUGAUUGAAAAGUUGGGUCACGGGCAAUUGCCUUAGUUGCAGCAGCUAUUUUAUCAGUCACAUGCAUAUU
RNAcentral lists this long non-coding RNA (377 nucleotides) under Olea europaea (common olive). RNAcentral's name for it is "long non-coding RNA (OEUR_LNC008528)". Lineage: Eukaryota; Viridiplantae; Streptophyta; Magnoliopsida; Lamiales; Oleaceae. The record is from RNAcentral.